Molecule: unclassified non-coding RNA, 364 nt
Filed under: uncultured Pseudogymnoascus
Lineage: Eukaryota; Fungi; Ascomycota; Leotiomycetes; Myxotrichaceae
Description: sequence contains ITS2
Rfam family: 5.8S ribosomal RNA (bases 1-154)
Source: RNAcentral
AACUUUUAACAAUGGAUCACUUGGUUCUGGCAUCGAUGAAGAACGCAGCGAAAUGAGAUAAGUAAUGUGAAUUGCAGAAUUCAGUGAAUCAUCGAAUCUUUGAACGCACAUUGCGCCCCCUGGUAUUCCGGGGGGCAUGCCUGUCCGAGCGUCAUUACAACCCUCAAGCUCAGCUUGGUAUUGGGCCCCGCCGACCCGGCGGGCCCUAAAGUCAGUGGCGGUGCCGUCCGGCUCCGAGCGUAGUAAUUCUUCUCGCUCUGGAGGUCCGGUCGUGUGCUCGCCAGCAACCCCCAAUUUUUUACAGGUUGACCUCGGAUCAGGUAGGGAUACCCGCUGAACUUAAGCAUAUCAAUAAGCGGAGGCU